GCAGUGAAGUGAUUUGUCUGGUUAAUUCCGUUAACGAACGAGACCUUAACCUGCUAACUAGUCCGAGCUAACUCAUUUGGCCGUGACUUCUUAGAGGGACUAUGAGGACCAAACUCAUGGAAGUUUAAGGCAACAACA
Molecule: ribosomal RNA, 138 nt
Filed under: uncultured eukaryote
Lineage: Eukaryota
Description: partial 18S ribosomal RNA
Rfam family: Eukaryotic small subunit ribosomal RNA
Source: RNAcentral